UGAAAAUGGCCACAGCUGAAUAAGUGUUCUUAGUAACACAAGUACAAUCAUGUAAACCCUGAAAAUUGUCUUACCCUAAUCAUAACUUUUGAAACAAUGGAUUCAAAAAUAUGGACAAGCUUUCUUUUGAGGUGUAUCGAAGACAUGCUGCAAAGUAAUAAUAGAGAGCCACGUAGUCCUUAGAAUGGCUCUUGUGAGAGAAAAUCAUGAGAAAAGAGUAAAACAACUCACAGCUAAAACACAUUUACUAUUGUUUACAAG
This 261-nucleotide long non-coding RNA is filed under the name Brassica napus (rape). RNAcentral's name for it is "long non-coding RNA (BNAP_LNC011768)". The record is from RNAcentral. Lineage: Eukaryota; Viridiplantae; Streptophyta; Magnoliopsida; Brassicales; Brassicaceae.